Papaver somniferum (opium poppy) is the source of this 1293-nucleotide long non-coding RNA. RefSeq lists it as uncharacterized. Lineage: Eukaryota; Viridiplantae; Streptophyta; Magnoliopsida; Ranunculales; Papaveraceae. The transcript has 3 exons. The record is from RefSeq and is a predicted model, not a curated record.
CUUGUUUGGAGGUUUAAUAUUUCAUCCAUCAUUAUACAUAUACACAGUGAUGAUGAUGAUAAUGAUUAGCAGAUCCCUCUAUUUUCUCUUGUUUUAUCUUCCUUCUCUGAUGCUUUCUCUCUCUCGUCCUGUUCUCCAAUUUUAGGGUUCAACUGCUCUAAUUUCAUAGAAUUUAUGAAGGCUCAAGUCAGUAAUUUGUUGAUUUUGGAGAUAUUAAAUCCUAGAUCGCCCGAGCAACACCAAUUCUUUAGGGAAUAGUUGGGGUUUCAAUGGAAGUCAUGGGAUUGAUGUUUGGGGAGUUUGUAGAUGAAUAUAUUAUUCAUGUGGUACUGGGGUUAGUGUUGAAUCUGUUCACCCUGUGUUCCAGACUAAUAUGUUGGAUAUGCUUAAGCAGACUUGAAGGUCAUCUGUCUCUCUCUAUAUUGCUAAUAUUAUGUUUUAAGUCUAUAAUGUUUAGUGUGUGAGUUAUUUGUAGGUGAUGAGUUGAAACAGAUACACAUUAUUACGGCUAAAUUUAAUGUUACAUACUAGGAUGGUAAAAUUCUCAUGUGUAUUUACAAUGGACUAACAUCUGACUGUUGAGCUGGGACUGUUGGGGUAUGAUUGGCUAUAAAGGGGUUGGAAACAAUCAGCAGAGAACAUCGUUGUUCCAAGACAAUCUUGCACUCUACCUGCACUUUAAAAGUUCCGAGAUGAGAUUUUUAGAUCCUCUCCACCUUCCAUCCACCACCAUCUCGAGAAUCAGCACCAUCAACACUUCAUUUACACCUCUCGGACUUAGGAGAAUUGCCUCUCACCUAUUUGUGAAAUCACUCAACAGCUCAUCCCUAAAACUCGCCACCAGUUUCCCUCAUAACUUUUUUCAUCCCGUCACCACCAUAGAUUCCACCUCCACGGACCACCAACACCUCCCUCAAUGUAUCACCAGUUCCUUUUACACAUUCAUGAUGCCACCAGCUAGCUUCAUCUUGUAUUUAAACAACAACAACAAUUCUAACUCCACAAACUCAAUAUCGUACAGUUGAUGUCCCAGAUGAUAGGUUGUGUCAAAUGGGUGAUAUGUUAUUUUCCUUGACCUUUUUUAUUAUCUUUUUAAAAUUAUCAUAAAUAUUUCUGAGCAUAUCAAUUUAUGUUACUGGACUUUGAUCAGUCAACUGAGUGGUAUGGGGUGCACAGCAUUAGGUAUAAACAAAUCUUACCUAGAAUUUUUUUUUUUGAAGUUAGCUAGUCUAUCUGCAUUGAGUUGGUCUGGACGUUGGUAGUUGUACAAAGAUGUCUAGGGUUCAAAUGCAC